This is a long non-coding RNA of Marmota monax (woodchuck), 444 nucleotides long. RefSeq lists it as uncharacterized. NCBI's taxonomy places the organism in Eukaryota, Metazoa, Chordata, Mammalia, Rodentia, Sciuridae. The record is from RefSeq and is a predicted model, not a curated record. The transcript has 4 exons.
AACAGGCUACGGCUUUUCUGUUGCAGUCUCCUUCCUGCAUAGGCUACUGGUCUUGUUAGAUGGAUAUGGAGGCUUUUUUUCUUCUACCUCAAGUGCCCUCUAGCGUGCAAUAUCUGUGCAGGUUGCUAUGUAGAAGGAGGUGAAAAGAAUACCCUGGAGUCUGGCUCAUUAAUGCAGCCCUGAAGUCUUCUUCAAAGCAAAUCUUGUAUGCUGCAGAUUUGGGGAGCGAAGAGUAUUGGAGAAUCAGAGGAAGACAAUAAUCUCCUACAGAAGAAGAGCAGAUGGCCAGAGAAGAGAUCCUUAUAUGAUCCCCACAGCUUGUUCACCCCUAUGAGGAAUCCAGAGACAUCUAGUCAAACGCUGAAGAUGGAAAACAAAUCAGAAGUACAUGAAUACAGUGGCUUUUCGCACAAUAUGGCACUAGAGCCUGGAAAGAUUACCAAG